GCAGUCGAGCGGAACGGCAGUAUUGAAGCUUCGGUGGAUUUACUGGACGUCGAGCGGCGGACGGGUGAGUAACGGCUGGGAACCUGCCCUGACGAGGGGGAUAACCGUUGGAAACGACGGCUAAUACCGCAUAAUGUCUACGGACCAAAGGUGGCCUCUACAUGUAAGCUAUCGCGUUGGGAUGGGCCCAGUUAGGAUUAGCUAGUUGGUAAGGUAACGGCUUACCAAGGCGACGAUCCUUAGCUGGUUUGAGAGGAUGAUCAGCCACACUGGGACUGAGACACGGCCCAGACUCCUACGGGAGGCAGCAGUGGGGAAUAUUGCACAAUGGGGGAGACCCUGAUGCAGCCAUGCCGCGUGUGUGAAGAAGGCCUUCGGGUUGUAAAGCACUUUCAGCAGUGAGGAAGGUAGUGUACUUAAUACGUGCAUUGCUUGACGUUAGCUGCAGAAGAAGCACCGGCUAACUCCGUGCCAGCAGCCGCGGUAAUACGGAGGGUGCGAGCGUUAAUCGGAAUUACUGGGCGUAAAGCGCAUGCAGGCGGUUUGUUAAGUCAGAUGUGAAAGCCCGGGGCUCAACCUCGGAACCGCAUUUGAAACUGGCAGGCUAGAGUCUUGUAGAGGGGGGUAGAAUUUCAGGUGUAGCGGUGAAAUGCGUAGAGAUCUGAAGGAAUACCAGUGGCGAAGGCGGCCCCCUGGACAAAGACUGACGCUCAGAUGCGAAAGCGUGGGUAGCAAACAGGAUUAGAUACCCUGGUAGUCCACGCCGUAAACGAUGUCUACUUGGAGGCUGAGGUUUUAGACUUUGGCUUUCGGAGCUAACGCAUUAAGUAGACCGCCUGGGGAGUACGGCCGCAAGGUUAAAACUCAAAUGAAUUGACGGGGGCCCGCACAAGCGGUGGA
Molecule: ribosomal RNA, 900 nt
Filed under: Salinivibrio sp. RKHZ-16
Lineage: Bacteria; Pseudomonadati; Pseudomonadota; Gammaproteobacteria; Vibrionales; Vibrionaceae
Also listed under: 1 other name
Description: bacterial SSU rRNA
Rfam family: Bacterial small subunit ribosomal RNA
Source: RNAcentral